GCGGCGGACUACAGGUCCCGGCAGGCCUCGCGGCUCCGCGGCGGGGGAGGCGGGAGCGCGGCGCGGCCGAGUUCCCCCGCCGGAAGCGGUGUCCCGCGCGCGGUGCACGCUGGGAUGGGUAGUUCGGCGGCAGCGGCUGGCGCGUGCGGCGGGGUACCAUUUUGCCCUGGCGCGGGCGGCGCCCGGCGAGGCGCUGCCUGGCCUGCGCCAUUUUGAUGGGUAGCCGGCCCGGCCGGAGGGACGCGGUGGGGACACGGGCCGUGUCGGGUGCCUUCGGGGGCUGGUGAAACGAAUGCUGCCCGCCAGUGACGCCAGCUCUUAAUUGCUGAGGCUGGGAGCAGCCCCUUGCCAGGGCGAUGCAGCCUUCCGCUUCGCUCGGUCCUCGUUUGAAUUGGUGCUUGGAACGCUGGCCCGUGCUGGUGAAUGAAGUCGAUCACGACUAAACAUCGCGAUGAGAACGAGGGGAUUUGGUGAGAGGUAUGAUGGAGAGGAGGUUUUCAGUGGUGUCCAAUACAUUGUACAGAAGCAUUAAGCCCUUCAUGGAAGCACCAUCAGAAGUAGAAGAAUACUUGGUAUACACAAGCGGAUUUUCCUGAAAGCUGUAAUGGCAUGAACAGUUUCUAACAAUGGGAAUGUCAGGUGUCCUGGUGAAAGAUUUCCUGGCAGCUGUAGUACAACAGAUAGAGAGAUGCUUGAGUGCUGCUUCUCAGCUGAAGGAAAAUGGUCAAAAAUGUAGGAACAAAUACUUUUAGCUUAUUCAGUGAUGAGUUGGAAUGCUUUGUCAGUGCUGCCAGACAAAUGUGGAUGAUCUGUAACUGGAAGGAAGCGUAACACCUGAAGAGUUUUUGUGGCUUGGAGUGGGAUGCCAUGCUUUUAAAAACCUGCUAAGGCAGCUGCUGCAGUUUUGUUGAGCGGAUACUGUUUUCAGAAACUGCAUGUGAACCAAAAUCACUGUCUCAGUGUAUUUAAAAUAGACCUUUUCCCAAAACACUGAGCUGCCCUCUGUAGGAAGGGUAGCAGCAAUAUUAGAGAAAUGAGUGUUGAGCUUCAAUACAUGGAAAAACCCCUGAGAGUAUUUGCCCUUUUAAAAUAUCAUAAGGGUAUAUAGACUUGCUGAUACUGAACAUCUGUAAUAACUCAAAACAACAGAACUCACGGGUAGGCCCUGUAAAGAUGGGGAGAAAGCAAAAUGGGUACACAAAUUCAAACCAAUGAGUCAGGUUUUUGAGGGUGGUGUCAUCCAGGAGAUGGAAGUAGAUGAGGUUGUGGUGGUACAGAAGCAUAAAUGUGAAACACUUGUAAGAAAGAAAUUCAAGUGUCAUGAGGAGAGUCAUGGUUACAGAAAAGGCAAGGUCUAAAGGUUGCAUUGCUGUGUGUAUCUAGUGAGGGGAGAGAGGAACUGGGCUUUUAUGGACUGCCACUUCAGCAUGAAAAGACCAGCAUGAAAAGACCAGUACCACAACAGUGGAACUGCCCUUUGAGGUGUAUGCUGGCAAUGUUACCUGCUUGCUGUGAGGGGAAAGAGGUCAGUAGUGGGAGACGGGAGUACACACGUUGGAACUUGUGCUUUGAGGAUUCACUUGAAAACUAAUGGUCCUGUAUCGUAGUAACAGGCGUAUUUGCUGUAUUCAGCAAAUUCACACUCUUCCACAGAGGAAUGAAGGAUCAUAAAUUGGUCACCGAUUAAGUUGGAUUUUAAAGACAAAUCAUUAUGUACAUAAGGUGCAGUCUGCUUUAAAGCAUGACUCUCAAACCUAAUUGUCAGGAAUGGUUUAUGAAGGAAGAAACAGAAUGGCAUGAUACCUAAAAGUUGAUAGAGCUACAGUUGCAGAAUCAUUCCAAAAUGCA
Molecule: long non-coding RNA, 1848 nt
Organism: Aquila chrysaetos chrysaetos
Lineage: Eukaryota; Metazoa; Chordata; Aves; Accipitriformes; Accipitridae
Exons: 7
Source: RefSeq, a predicted model, not a curated record